Molecule: ribosomal RNA, 301 nt
Filed under: uncultured bacterium
Lineage: Bacteria
Description: partial 16S ribosomal RNA
Rfam family: Bacterial small subunit ribosomal RNA
Source: RNAcentral
AGUAGCCGCGGGAAUACAGAGGGUGCGAGCGUUAAUCGGAUUUACUGGGCGUAAAGCGUGCGUAGGCGGCUUCUUAAGUCGGAUGUGAAAUCCCUGAGCUUAACUUAGGAAUUGCAUUCGAUACUGGGAAGCUAGAGUAUGGGAGAGGAUGGUAGAAUUCCAGGUGUAGCGGUGAAAUGCGUAGAGAUCUGGAGGAAUACCGAUGGCGAAGGCAGCCAUCUGGCCUAAUACUGACGCUGAGGUACGAAAGCAUGGGGAGCAAACAGGAUUAGAUACCCCGGUAGUCCCUGUCUCUUAUACA